RNA transcript from Arachis duranensis, 2236 nucleotides. RefSeq lists it as uncharacterized. The transcript is spliced from 10 exons. Lineage: Eukaryota; Viridiplantae; Streptophyta; Magnoliopsida; Fabales; Fabaceae. The record is from RefSeq and is a predicted model, not a curated record.
CCAACAGCCCCUCUCAGUCCCGUCGAACCAGCGCUUCCCAACCCCUACCAUCCCCGCCGAACUAACGCCUCCCAGUCAGUUUGUUCACAGCUUCACCAAUCGCCACUGUCUCUGCCUCUUGCCUGCCUCUGUUCCGCAGUUGUCACAGAUUUUAAUAUAUGUUUUGAUUUUUUAUUGAUGAAAUUGCUAUGCUUUGAAUUCUGUUAAUGUGAAAUUAGGAUUAGGUUUAGGGUUUGAAUUCUGUAAUUGAUAAAUUUGGAUUGAGUUAUAUUCUUGCUCUGAAAUUGAGGUUAGGGUUUGUGAAAUUGGGACAAUUUAGGGUUUGGUCUCUGUUAAAUGUAAAUUAUUUUUUUUUAUUUUUUUGUUUAUUUAAAUCUUUUUUAAUAAUUAAAAAACCGAACAAACCGAACCGAACCAAACCGAUUUUAAUUGGUUUGGUUUGGUUCGGAUGAUCUCGAUAAAAAAACCGAACCAAACCGAACCGCAGUCUUAAUAAACGAUCGGAUCGGAUGACUUUUUCCUAAUUAACCGAACCGAACCAAACCGCACCGCGAACACCCCUAGCUCCACUACUCUGCCAUACGUCUCAGUCCAGUCCAGGAGUGUCGUCGUCCUUCUCAGUCUAGUCUCGUCCCCUCCGUAGCAGCCGCCGACCCACCGUGUCUCACUGUCCAGCAUCUCCGUCUUGUUUAAUCCCCAGAACCCUUUCAGAUCCCCAGGUUGUGGUUCAAAAGUCAAUAAACAAUGAAAUGAAGCACAGCACAUCUUGAGAUAAGAGCGACGGAAAAGUAACUAAUAAUUUGUUGUUGCUGAGGAAGUGGGCAUCAGAUUUUUGGGGAUAGGCUUUCAGCUAAAGUAGGGAAUCAAUGACAUACUUAAAAUGCCAAAGAAAGCCUUUCCGCCGUUGGAAUUUCCUGAGCUUGGAAGUUGCAACCUUCUGCAGUCAUUUUUGAACAAUGAGCUAAAUUCUGUAGUGGAAUUAGCAGCAGAGAAAGGUUGCUAUGGUGAUAACUUUCUUUAAAGAUUGCACAUCAAUGGUUGGCUUACAAAAUUAGCAAAUCCUCUGUGGCCAUGUAGAAAAACCAGUAGCCAUUUGGUCCUUCAACACCAAGCUCCGAAACUCAUCCUCUGACUUUUGGUGUGCAGUUCUCUCUUCUAGAAAAGAGGUUGAUGAAUUGCCUGUCAAAAUUGGUUGGUUUCCUGAGUACUCAGAUUUGAGAAGAGCUCUUGACCCUUUAUGGGUUUCUUUUUGAAUUUUCAUCCAGUGGUGAACCCAAAAAUUUAGAUUCUGACACUGGAGAACCACCCUCAAAAUAUUCGAGCCUGGCUCAAAUUUGUCACUGCUUGUUGUCUAAUACGGAGUAAACGACCAGCAUUUUCUGUUGUAGAAGCUGAAGAACUCAUUGAAAGCAUUAUAUGUCUAUUCCUAGAUUGCCAGUUUCAAGGUUUAUUAGUGCUUUUGAAUGAUUGCAUGCAAGCCAUUGUCAAUUACUUCACAGACCAGGAACGGCAUUCAAGUUGUGAGAACAUAGCAAAAUUUGUUGCUUCCAGGUUGUUAUUACUUUUGGUGUCAGUAAUAGUAAUUCAGUGAUGCUACAAACUUCUUUGGCAUCACAAAACUUCUUUAUAUAGAUAGAUAACAUCAAACCUUGUGCUACUUCAUGAAUCAAAAUACAUAGUUAUUCAUCACUUGUUCAAUUUUUGAGAGAGGAAUUAAUACAGAGUAGCUCAGCUAGAAAGCCUUGGAGUUGGGGAGGCUUUGAAGGACCAAGGAGUGUGCAGGUGGAACUAUGUUCUCAGAAAUGUUCAACAACAUGUGAAGAGCCAUGUUAGAUGGUUUUCACAGUUUCCUUCUUCUUCCUCUGCUAUGGUCUCCAUUACAGUACUCAAGAGGUCCCAAAAAGCUAAGCAGUCAUUGGAAUCAUUAAGAGAAGUCAUGUACUUAUCUUGUUGGGGUCCUAUCUAAAUGUUAGUAAUGAGAUCCAUUUAGGACAAUAGAGAAACAUUUUCUUCUUUGAUGCUACUAGCUAGGCCAUGAUUCCAUGUAGUCUUGUAUCGGUGGGGUCGUAUAAAGCAAUUAUUUCAUCUUGUAUACAUAACAUCAUCGUAUGGUACAAGAUGAAUACAAGAGUUGUUUGGUUAUAAUGAUUCUUCUUCAAUAUAGAAUGCUUACUUUUUUGUUAAGGUAGAAAACUCCUAUUUUCAUGAUAUGUUGUUGGGAGAUUUCCUUUUAUUA